GACGGUGCCAAAUUGAAACAUAAUAAUCAAAUCCUAAUUGAUUACCCUACAACUCGUUGCCGUCGGUGCUUCUUAAUUUUUCUUCAGCACCAUUUUUCAUCUACAUGCUAAAUUUGAAGUAGAUCUCUUUAUUUCUUCAUUUCACCUCACUGAACAGAAGAAAAUUCUUAGCCCUCACAGCCUUCAAUCAACACAUAACAACCCUAAGCCGAAAGUGCAAAUCCUAGCGUUGUGGUCAUAUUCUCACUGUAUAGAAGUCAUGAGAUGUUUGAGAAGCUUUGGGAUCAUAUUCAGUCUGGUAAUUCUUCAUCAAUUGAUGUUCAUUUGUCUUUUUCAUUUUUAUUCUAUAUUUAUUUGUUUAUCUAUGAUGGUAAUUCCGAUCCACAUGUGCAUUUUUUGUUCGUUUAUUUGCUGCACUAUUUUUUCCCUUGGUUAUUUAUGAUUUGUGAAGUGAUUCUUGUUUGAGGAAAUAAGAGACGGGAUUUGAUUUACAUUGUUUUUGCAGUUCAGAACCAGAGGGAUGUUAUUCCUUUAGAUGUAAAUGGUGACGUUGGGGACUCUGAUGACGAUAAUGAGCAUCCAAUGUUAACAUGUUGAGUGACUUAGGUUUAUGACAAUUGUGUUUCCAUUGUGCUAUAUCGAAAUGGAAGGUGUAGGUUCUGAUUUAGGGAUUUCAUUAAGUUAGGAGUUCUAUUUGAACAUAUCAACUAUUAUGCCUUGUGUUUAGUUGCAUCAAAAGUUAACUAAUUGACGUUCUAUUGGUGAGAAAUAUAAUAUACAUGAUAGGUAAAUGUUUUUGUGUUCUAGUUCUGGAAAUGAUUCGUUACUUGAAUUUUUUUCAAAGAUUACUCUCGUGCAACAUUUGACGUUGAACAAGAACAAUGUAAUAAUGUUGAGAUGAACUGAAAUUUUGAUGUAUUAGACAACAAUGUGAGUCUCAAAUUAAGAUCUAGAAAUUUUGACCUGAUUUGAACUUGUGAUUAAUUGUGUGUGAAUUCCCAAAGUUUGUCAUUUGCUACUGAGGCUGGAUUUUUGACAGAUUUCAAAACUGACUCUUUAUCUUAAGAAGCACUUGUCAAUAAAUAUCAAAAUGAACUCAAAUUUUGAAUUGUUAGUCCUAAAUAUAAAAAAUCUUUUUCUUAAAAGUUUGAUUGAUCUAUUAUAAGUAUUUCAUUUGCUUUUGUGUAUGCAUUGACCAUUGUAGCUUAUGUUGUUGUUUUAUUGACAGUCUCAGUGGAUGUGGUAACCUCCUGUGUUAUGGAAAUGCCGAGAUAACUUUAUAUGUUGUACAUUUUACUCGUCUGUUAGUAUUUUCAAAAAUUUGUUAGCGAGGAUUAGUGGCAAUUUAAGCAUUGAAAUUGAAAUUGAAAUUCUGCUUUCUUAUUAAAAUUUCAGGUUUUGCAGACGUUAAUGUCUUGGGAGUAAUUGAUAGUUGGAUGCCUUGUGUUUUGCUAAAAAAAGUUUUAACUUUUCUUGAUCCAUACGCUAUUAUUGGGUGGUCGAGCAUGUAUUAAAUUUGAUUUUAUUGCCACUACUACCUUGUAACAUCUUUUGAGAUGAAAAUGUUGCAGAUUUUGAUUUGUUACUAUAAAUGUUGUUGGUUGUAGAUCGUCUUUCUGGAUGGAAACAGUUAAGUAUAAAUAUUUGCAGAAGUGUAUAAUGUCAAUUUCAAAUACACAAUAUUUCAUUCUUAUUCAAACUUUAAUUCUGGCAUUGUAAUACUUAGCAGCUUCAAAUGACUACAUCUAUUAGCUUUAAUCACAGCUACUUUAAUCUUCCAAGUCAAAAAAGAGACUACUACAAGGAAUACUUGACAUUGGCUUACACAACAAAAAUCAAAAUAACUUUGUUAACUGAAGUAGCAAUUUAACUACAAUAAAAGAAUGGAAGAAUCAGACCCCUUUUGUCUGCAGAAGUAUUCUACAUGGCAGGACAAAUAAGCAAGAAGACUUCCCAGUCAUUUGAAAGUUCUUACACGAGUAGUGACUUCUCCUCUUCUUACACGAGUAAUUACUGUUUGUGUGCUCCAACAGUUGGGUUUUCUUCUUGGCAGCUGCAGCCCUCCAUACUCGCAACUUGUCCACUCUUCUCAAUUCUAGCUGCAAUUCUUCUUCUACAACC
Molecule: long non-coding RNA, 2121 nt
Filed under: Citrus sinensis (sweet orange)
Lineage: Eukaryota; Viridiplantae; Streptophyta; Magnoliopsida; Sapindales; Rutaceae
Description: long non-coding RNA (CSIN_LNC001786)
Source: RNAcentral